Molecule: long non-coding RNA, 265 nt
Organism: Oreochromis niloticus (Nile tilapia)
Lineage: Eukaryota; Metazoa; Chordata; Actinopteri; Cichliformes; Cichlidae
Exons: 3
Source: RefSeq, a predicted model, not a curated record
CCAAAAUUAAAACGAACACUGCGGCAUCAAUGAGAGGCUUCUUCAUGCGGAGGAACCAAGCGCACCAGUUGAGAAGAAAGACUCGGACCUGAAAGAAAGAAAUAAGAAAGACAAAGAUUUAGCUGGAGGCAAGAAGUGAACUUACCCAUUUAGGCAUUUUUCCUCCGUGGGGGUCAUGGUGGUGGAAUUGCAGAACCAGAACAGUUACCACCACCGACAAUCCCACAAUCAUCAUGGUGCUAGCAAAAUACUGAGCUGAAGAAGA